CGUAGGUGGCGAACGUUAUCCGGAAUAACUGGGCGUAAGGGUCCGUAGGCGGCUAAGCAGGUCUGGCGUGAAGCCCUCGGCUAAACUGAGGGAGUGCGUUGGAACCGCGUAGCUAGCAUCACGCAGGGGCUGGUGGAAUUCCCGGUGUAGUGGUGGAAUGCGUAGAGAUCGGGAGGAACCUCUAGAGCGAAGGCAACCGGCUAGGCGAUGAUGGACGCUGAGGGACGAAAGCGUGGGAGCGAACAGGAUU
This 250-nucleotide ribosomal RNA is filed under the name uncultured bacterium. Its description in RNAcentral is "partial 16S ribosomal RNA". It matches the Rfam family "Bacterial small subunit ribosomal RNA", at positions 526 to 779 of the family's 1533-position model. The record is from RNAcentral.